GACGAACGCUGGCGGCGUGCCUAACGCAUGCAAGUUGAGCGACGAACCAGGGCUUGCCCUGGGGCAAAGCAGCGAACGGGUGAGUAACACGUGGGUAACCUACCCCGAUAACCGGGACAACCCGAGGAAACUCGGGCUAAUACCGGAUGUGCUCACUGGACUUCGGUUCAGUGCGUAAAGGAAGCUUCGGCCUCCGUAUCGGGAGGGGCCCGCGGCCCAUUAGUUUGUUGGUGAGGUAACGGCUCACCAAGACCGCGAUGGGUAGCUGGUCUGAGAGGACGAUCAGCCACACUGGGACUGAGACACGGCCCAGACUCCUACGGGAGGCAGCAGUGGGGAAUCUUGCGCAAUGCGCGAAAGCGUGACGCAGCAACGCCGCGUGGGGGAAGAAGGCCUUCGGGUUGUAAACCCCUUUCAGGAGGGACGAAGGUUCGGCGGUGAAUAGCCGUCCGGACUGACGGUACCUCCACAAGAAGCCCCGGCUAACUACGUG
Molecule: ribosomal RNA, 493 nt
Filed under: uncultured bacterium
Lineage: Bacteria
Description: partial 16S ribosomal RNA
Rfam family: Bacterial small subunit ribosomal RNA
Source: RNAcentral